Molecule: long non-coding RNA, 329 nt
Filed under: Danio rerio (zebrafish)
Lineage: Eukaryota; Metazoa; Chordata; Actinopteri; Cypriniformes; Danionidae
Description: lncRNA (ENSDARG00000117330.1)
Source: RNAcentral
GGAAUUAAAUAUAAAUUAAAAUGUGCACUUAAUGAUGUGUAUUAUUGUUUGUCAAUUAUGGUUUCUUGUAGAUGAAAUUGAUCUGGAAUUAGAAGAGGAUGAUGUAAGUGAUGAUGAGGAUUCAGACCCUGAGACUAAGAGUAAAGACCCUACCAAUGAAGUGAGGGAAAACAAAAAAGGGAUCGAAUUUACCCAAAAAGAGACUUCAAAAGGAAAAAGAAAAAUGUCCCCUGAUGAGGCUGAGAGCACCUUAGGUAUGUGAAGCGGUUAUGUUCGUUGAUCCACAUGAUGGGUUUUAUUUAACUCAACCUUGCUGACUUAAAAUGGGU